GCCGGAGUGGUGAAAUGGCAGACACGCAGGAUUUAGGAUCCUGUGCCGCAAGGCGUGGAGGUUCAAGUCCUCUCUCCGGCACCA
RNAcentral lists this transfer RNA (84 nucleotides) under Candidatus Roizmanbacteria bacterium RIFCSPHIGHO2_12_FULL_44_10. RNAcentral's name for it is "tRNA-Leu". It matches the Rfam family "tRNA". Rfam says of the family: Transfer RNA (tRNA) molecules are approximately 80 nucleotides in length. Their secondary structure includes four short double-helical elements and three loops (D, anti-codon, and T loops). Lineage: Bacteria; Candidatus Roizmaniibacteriota. The record is from RNAcentral.